RNAcentral lists this ribosomal RNA (445 nucleotides) under uncultured bacterium. RNAcentral describes it as "bacterial SSU rRNA". It matches the Rfam family "Bacterial small subunit ribosomal RNA", at positions 354 to 796 of the family's 1533-position model. The record is from RNAcentral.
GUGAGGAAUAUUGGUCAAUGGGCGAGAGCCUGAACCAGCCAUUCCGCGUGAAGGAAGAAGGCCUUACGGGUUGUAAACUUCUUUUCUGUAAGAAGAAUAGUCCCGACGUGUCGGGGCAUGACGGUAUUAUAGGAAUAAGCAUCGGCUAACUCCGUGCCAGCAGCCGCGGUAAUACGGAGGAUGCAAGCGUUAUCCGGAUUUAUUGGGUUUAAAGGGUGCGCAGGUGGUUUUAUAAGUCAGUGGUGAAAGUCUGGCGCUUAACGUUAGGAUUGCCAUUGAUACUGUAGGACUUGAGUAUGGAUGAGGUAGGCGGAAUGUGUAGUGUAGCGGUGAAAUGCAUAGAUAUUACACAGAACUCCGAUUGCGAAGGCAGCUUACUAAUCCACGACUGACGCUGAGGCACGAAAGCGUGGGGAUCAAACAGGAUUAGAUACCCCAGUAGUCC